UACGGGGGGGGCAAGCGUUGUUCGGAAUUACUGGGCGUAAAGGGCUCGUAGGUGGCCAACUAAGUCAGACGUGAAAUCCCUCGGCUUAACCGGGGAACUGCGUCUGAUACUGGAUGGCUUGAGUUUGGGAGAGGGACGCGGAAUUCCAGGUGUAGCGGUGAAAUGCGUAGAUAUCUGGAGGAACACCGGUGGCGAAGGCGGCAUCCUGGACCGACACUGACACUGAGGAGCGAAAGCCAGGGGAGCAAACAGG
This 253-nucleotide ribosomal RNA is filed under the name uncultured bacterium. RNAcentral's name for it is "partial 16S ribosomal RNA". It matches the Rfam family "Bacterial small subunit ribosomal RNA", at positions 524 to 776 of the family's 1533-position model. The record is from RNAcentral.